RNAcentral lists this transfer RNA (72 nucleotides) under Ictidomys tridecemlineatus (thirteen-lined ground squirrel). Its description in RNAcentral is "Spermophilus tridecemlineatus (thirteen-lined ground squirrel) tRNA". It matches the Rfam family "tRNA". Rfam says of the family: Transfer RNA (tRNA) molecules are approximately 80 nucleotides in length. Their secondary structure includes four short double-helical elements and three loops (D, anti-codon, and T loops). Lineage: Eukaryota; Metazoa; Chordata; Mammalia; Rodentia; Sciuridae. The record is from Rfam by way of RNAcentral.
GGGCAUGUGGCUCAGGGGUAGAGUGCUCGCCUAGCAUGCAUGAGGCCCUGGGUUCCAUCCCCAGCCCUUCCU